UGGGGAAUAUUGCACAAUGGGCGCAAGCCUGAUGCAGCCAUGCCGCGUGUGUGAAGAAGGCCUUCGGGUUGUAAAGCACUUUCAGCGAGGAGGAAGGUGGUGAACUUAAUACGUUCAUCAAUUGACGUUACUCGCAGAAGAAGCACCGGCUAACUCCGUGCCAGCAGCCGCGGUAAUACGGAGGGUGCAAGCGUUAAUCGGAAUUACUGGGCGUAAAGCGCACGCAGGCGGUUUGUUAAGUCAGAUGUGAAAUCCCCCGGGCUCAACCUGGGAACUGCAUUUGAAACUGGCAAGCUAGAGUCUCGUAGAGGGGGGUAGAAUUCCAGGUGUAGCGGUGAAAUGCGUAGAGAUCUGGAGGAAUACCGGUGGCGAAGGCGGCCCCCUGGACGAAGACUGACGCUCAGGUGCGAAAGCGUGGGGCAGCAAACAGGAUUAGAUACCCUGGUAGUCCACGCUGUAAACGAUGUCGAUUUUGGAGGUUGUGCCCUUGGGGCGUGGCUUCCGGAGCUAACGCGUUAAAUCGACCGCCCUGGGGAGUACGGCCGCAAGGUUAAAACUC
Molecule: ribosomal RNA, 559 nt
Filed under: uncultured bacterium
Lineage: Bacteria
Description: partial 16S ribosomal RNA
Rfam family: Bacterial small subunit ribosomal RNA
Source: RNAcentral